RNAcentral lists this ribozyme (112 nucleotides) under Aedes aegypti (yellow fever mosquito). Its description in RNAcentral is "drz-agam-1 ribozyme". It matches the Rfam family "drz-agam-1 ribozyme". The record is from Rfam by way of RNAcentral. Lineage: Eukaryota; Metazoa; Arthropoda; Insecta; Diptera; Culicidae.
UGCCAAGCAACUCUUAUCCCUAUUUCCUCGUGGUACUGGCCGGGAUACGAGCAACCAUAGAGAAGUUUGAGAAACCCUGGUGAGAGCUUUUGUCGUAUGCUGACAGAGAAAG